This 47-nucleotide non-coding RNA is filed under the name Legionella tucsonensis. Its description in RNAcentral is "Guanidine-II sequence". It matches the Rfam family "Guanidine-II riboswitch aptamer (mini-ykkC)". From Rfam's summary of the family: Simpler in structure and has fewer highly conserved nucleotide positions than the ykkC-yxkD leader. Despite this each of its two stem-loop structures directly bind free guanidine. Lineage: Bacteria; Pseudomonadati; Pseudomonadota; Gammaproteobacteria; Legionellales; Legionellaceae. The record is from Rfam by way of RNAcentral.
AUGUGAGGACGACCUCACCCAUUAUGGUUGCAUGCGGGACGGCCCGA